Aethalodelphis obliquidens (Pacific white-sided dolphin) is the source of this 2631-nucleotide long non-coding RNA. RefSeq lists it as uncharacterized. The record is from RefSeq and is a predicted model, not a curated record. The transcript is spliced from 4 exons. NCBI's taxonomy places the organism in Eukaryota, Metazoa, Chordata, Mammalia, Artiodactyla, Delphinidae.
AUUUGGAGUUGAAGCUGGUGCUGUGACCUGCCCCUCUCUCUAUCUUGAAGUCAACCACACUAGCAGAUACAGUCUCUCAAUUAUUGAACAUUUUUUGAGUGCCUGCCACUAGAUUUGACCUGAACAUCAAAGGUAAGUAAGACAAAGUCUCAGCCAUCAGUGAACAUAUCAUGUCACGGGGGAAGGAAACAUGAACAAGUAUGAGAGUGUCAGAGACACUUAGCGGCAGGACAUAUCAGCAAGGAUGGCACGCCACAGGGAGGGGCCUAAGAGGUGGGUGGGUGAACAGGCUGGAAGGAGGACGGCGAGGACGAGUCAGAAAUAAUACAAGAGAAAAGGCACUAACUAGUUCCUGCUCGCAGCUGGACCUGUGGGUCAGAAGGGCAUCGUGGAUGAGUAAAUAUUCAACUGCCUGGGACAUCCGGGGAAAAUGCCAGUGGAGACUCAGCUACUGCGUUUCUCCAUCCUUUAUCAGCGCACAGAACAAGUGCAGCUGAGAAAAGAGAGCGCUGACUGAGCAGAGAAUGAUCCCAGCGCUAAGGCUGCGGAGCGGCAGGCACUGGGCAGGAGAAGGGCGGGCACAACCACGCCAUGCCACGCCAACACAAGCAACACAUAAACAUCAACAUCGGAAAGAAAGGACCAGAGCAACCGCUGCGGCCAGCAGCAGUUCCUCUCGUCAGUGCAGGACAGCGGAGAGAUAAGGUAACUGCUGAACUAAGAUAGGAGCACGAAGCCAGGAGGAGACAAAGAGUCUAAGAGGUGAGAUCUGACCACGUUUAAAGGCGUAAAGGAGAUUCCGCCAAGGGGAUGGAUGCCGUGACCAGGAAGAAGCGAUGAGAAGAUGGGAGCUGGACUCCAGGGCAGGCUCGGGGCAGAAGAGGAUGAAGCAACAGGGAUUUGGAAACAGGAGAUGAAAAAUGAGAGUGAGAGAUGCAUGAAUAUCUGUUUCGAGCAGUAUUUCUCAACCUUGACACCGUGGACAUCUCAAGCCAGACAAUUCUUUGCUGUGGGAUGUGGGGUGGAGGCUGCCCCGUGCACUGCAGGAGCGGCACCCCGGCCUGUGUACACUAGAUGCCAGAGCGCCCAGCCCCCCAGCUGUGACACCUAAAAUGUCUCCGAUGUUGUCGAGUUUCUGCUGGGUGACAGAAUUGCCCCCCGGGUGAGAACCAAUGAUUUCACAGAAGAAAAAGGAUUGGGGAGGUAACAUACUUUAAACUUGUGUAUUUGGGGAAGGACACACUUUAAGGAAGGGCAGAGCAGCAGAAGGAAAGCAGAAGAGACCAGGGAGUCAAGCUGGGGGACAGAAAGUGAAAAUUGGUGGGUGAAAGGACAGAAUCUGACCAAAGGAGGAAUUACAGCAAAAUGAUUGAUGAAAGAGAAGAACGGACCAGAUGGAAGCAGAAAUCAGAAACAGGAGAGAAAAAGACCCGAAAGGAAAGCAGGGAUGACUGGCCAAGAAGGAAGGACACAGCCUGAGAGGGAAUGGACUUCAAAGCGGGUCACUCGGGGAUUUAAUGACGGGUUACUGACACGAGGGGUCUGGCCCAUUAGUCUUGUUAUCAGGAUGUGAGGAUUUGAGAGCCAAAUACAUGUCAGGCUACAUACACAUAACUUUCAGGCUCAUUAUAAUUAUUCCACAGAUAAAUGCUGGAACCGAAAGAAGAUUUGACACGUCCCAACUCCCUUUUUGAUGAAUUAUCAAGGCGGUCAUCAGCGAUCAAACCAAAGAAACAACACUAAAAGGUACACCUCAGGUCUAAACAUCACGGAUCAGACAGAAGGAAGAUCUCAAUGAAUCAGUUUCCAACCGGAAGGUGAUUCCACGGGACUACACUGGACUCUGAUAUUUUCAAAGCAUUUUGCCUAGGUAUUUCUCCGUGGUGACUACAAAAAUGCCCCCCCCCCCAACAACCCUGCAUGCUUUCCUGAUAGCCUAGUUCCGUGAGAGUUCUAGGUCUGAUAAAGAGCUGUCUCAGGUCCAGGGCUAGAAUGGAAGGAUGGUGUGCAAACGUGCCAGAGCUCCAAGGGUUUGGAAACUGGAUCUCAAUCUUCUCAUGUCAGCAUUCCCACGUAACUCAGCAGACUCUCUAGCUCCACGAGGACAGGUCCCGUGGAUAAAGCUCAGCAUUGCUGCAAAGAGAGAGGUCAGCUAAUACACAAAGGUGAGGACUUAUGGGGUCAGCUGGUUGGCACAGAGCUGCCGAGGAAGGACCGUGCCUGAGCGCGAACCGUGAUAGUCUCAGGGUCACUGAUUAUCAUGGUGGACCUUGGGCUUUCCCUGGUUCUCAUUACAUCCCUGGGCAACCAUCCUGGAUGUAGUCUGUCUCUUAGGAGAAAACUGCCCAGAUUCUUACUUCUCCAAAGGGCAGUUUAGUGUAGUGUUAAGAGCAUGGACCCUGGGGCUAAAAAUGCCCCAAUUCAAACCCAGCUCAUUACUCAUAACUCUGUACCUUAGGCAAGUGAAUUAAAAUCUCUACCUCAGUUUCCUUAUCUGUAAAAAGCAGGUGAUAAUAGAAUCAGUGACAGAGGAUUAUAAUAAGGAUUAGAUGAGAUAAUACUUGUAGACUUUCUUUUUUUUCUGUUUUUUUUUGGCCGUGCUGUGUGGCAUGCGGGAUCUUAGCUCCCAGA